RNAcentral lists this ribosomal RNA (253 nucleotides) under uncultured bacterium. RNAcentral describes it as "partial 16S ribosomal RNA". It matches the Rfam family "Bacterial small subunit ribosomal RNA", at positions 524 to 776 of the family's 1533-position model. The record is from RNAcentral.
UACGAAGGGGGCUAGCGUUGCUCGGAAUGACUGGGCGUAAAGGGCGCGUAGGCGGUUUGCACAGUCAGGCGUGAAAUUCCUGGGCUUAACCUGGGGGCUGCGCUUGAUACGUGUGGACUGGAGUGCGGAAGAGGGUCGUGGAAUUCCCAGUGUAGAGGUGAAAUUCGUAGAUAUUGGGAGGAACACCAGUGGCGAAGGCGGCUCACUGGACCGGAACUGACGCUGAGGCGCGGAAGCGUGGGGAGCAAACAGG